CCCCAUAUAUAUAAUUGUUUCACAUCACACACAUAUGCAUUUAUAUCACACGAACAAUAAACUGGACACCAAUCAUCGGCAAGUACAAAAUAUGUGUGAUAUAUAUAGCUAGUUCUUACACGUCAACAAAAGUGACACUAAAUUGUUCUACUUCUUGCAGAUUAAUAGAGAACAACCAAACAAGCACAAGUCUGAAUAACACAAGGUCUAACACGUCUCUGAUACAUAGAAAUUACACACACACACACACACAGAGAGAGAGAGAGAGAGAGAGAGAGAGAGCAGCAGUAGCAGGAUUGGGAAAGAAGGAGGAGUAGCAAGGUUUUUGGAAGAUGAGGAGCAGCAAGGGAAUUUGAGAGAAGGUGUAGCAAGAGAGAGGAGCAGCGGCAGUUCAGCAGAGAGGCUGAGAGGAGCAACAGUAGUUGUAGUUCAGAGCAGUAGCAGCGUGGAGGGUUGAGAGAGCAGAAGGAGCACACUGAGAAGAGAUAAGAAGAGCAAGAGCGGGGCAGUAGGGAGAUCAAGAGAAAGAGCAGCAAGAGAUUGAGAAAGAAGCAGCAGUAAGGGCAUGGAGAGAAAGCAGAAGCAGGGGCGUGGAGAAGAGGUGCUGGUCGCGCGGCGGAUUAGACAGGCCAUCUGGUGGCUUGUGUGAUCUGGUGCUGGUGAUGGUGGAUGGAUGGUGUAGUGAAGAUGGAGGCGCUGUAGUGUUCGGUGGUGAGGUGGCGGAGUUGGUGGUGCUGCUGGAUGGAUGGGUCACGGAGGCGCACCACCACACCGGCCUGGCCGUGGCGGCGGCCGGAGGUGGAGAAGAAAGGGAUCGGGGGAGAGAGAUGAGAUGCCAGGCCUGAUGGGGAAUGGAGGCGUGCUAGGGAUUUUGAUCCCCCAUGAUCUGAUCUGUCUUUUUUUACUUUGGCCCUCCUCCUUUCUUCUUUCUUCACAAGUAGAUCCUCUCUUCUAUAGUUGCCCCCUGGCUACUUCGUUUCUUCUCGCACAUGUCCAUUCUUCCUCCUCUUCUUCGUUCUCUUAGCCACUUAGUCCGGAUCUUGAAGAUUUAUAGUGCCUUUGCGCACAUUUCUGCAAAAUAGACCAACGACUAGUAAAUGAUACUUUAUAUGAUUUUCAUGCAAAUAUUCAAUAUUUCACAGCAAGAAUUGAUGGUCAUAUCUCAAUAAAUAAUAUAUUUCUAUGCCAAAAUUGUAUAUAUGAAAUGUGCUUAUCAAGUUCCCCCACACUUAAACUUUUGCUUGUCCUCAAGCAAAGGCAUAUGACAAGAGCAAGAAUGUGAACAGUGAGCUGACUAGAGAAUACCAAGUGAAGUAGAUGCCUAAACAGUGCAUGCUUUGGACUUAGCUAGUGAAAAUUAAUGGUUAGGAGUGCUUCAAAGCGGUAAGAUACUAGUAAGCAUGACCAUUUUAAACUUUUACAAUGAUAAAAGAGGAUCAACAAGUUUAAAUGAUGACUGCGCCAAAUGGUUCCUAAAGAGAGCAUGAUCCCGAGAACAAAAAGAACUGGAAUUAAAUCUCUUAUUUGCAGAAAUAUAACUUUGUGGUUGACCCACUUAUUGAAUUUGAAAGAAACACACAUAUUAUUUCAUUAGUCUCACCGAAGGAACAUACCACCGAUCCCGAGAACAUGGUAUACACCUGGCUCAACCAAUUUUUAUUAAUUUUUCUGUUUGUCUCCCCAAAGGAACAUACCACCGUUGCCGGGGAAUCAAAAUGAUCAAUUGUAAUAUAGCGGGGUUUUUACGCCCCAAACUACGAGUGUCGUGUUCUCCACAGGGACUAGGUGACGACGACUAUGCUCGGCUAAAGCUAGGUAGCAAGAUAUUGGGUGAUGAAAGCGGAAAAUAAAACCUAAACUAACAAGGUUAUUCCUGAAGAUCGCCGCCAAAGGAAAUGCAAAAUAAGCAAAGGGGAGGUUCAGAUUGUCUAUAUUGUCUUUUUGGUGUUUCCCUAUUACUUGAGAAAUUAAAAUGCUAACACAAAAGGAAACAACAGGACAUGAACACAUAUAUUUAUCUAACAAGCGUAUGACAGAGGGAAGAAACAAGAUAAUAGACAGGGAUGAAAAUGCUUCAUGUCACAACAUAUAUUAUAGGUGCAGAGCUAAUACAUAGACUGAAAAUUGAAUGAUCACACAACUGGCUACCACAGAGAGUAAUUUCAAUACAAAAUAAAAUCACGAAUAGUAACAUGAAUUUUUUAUAGUGAGCUAGCUGACAUGAUUUACAUCACAAAACACACAUGUAUUUAUAUAGCACAUGUACUGGAGCUAACACAUUGACAACUGAAUAAAUUUAUGCAGUAAGGAACAAACACAUAAGGGAUCCCACACAUACAGUAGCAGAAUACUAAUUAACAGAUGACAAGUAUGAACUGAACAUAUAGCAGGUUACAGGCACUUAGAUAAUCUGAAUAUUACAAAGCUUCUUACUACUCCUAUUACAGAAAAUUCAGAGAAUAUAGAGAGGGGGAAGAGAUAUAGCAGCAGAGGAGGUAAGGAGGAAGAGUAGCUGUGAGGGGAAGGGAGUAGUAGUGGCAGUUGAAAGAAGAAGCCGCAGGGCGCAGCAAUGGAGGAGCAGCAGCGGGACUUGGAGAAGAGGAGGCAGCAGCAGGAGGUCGAGGAGAAGAAGGAAGAUGCAGCAAUUUUAUGAUUCAGAAAAGAACAGUAGCAGAGGACAUGGGAAGAGGGAGCAGCAGCGGGGGCAUGGAGAGGCAGUAGGUUGAGGCGCCAGGAGAGGAGAUGUAGCAGCAAGAGAUGGAGAAGGGCAGAAGAAUCAGCAGGGUGGAGGCGCACGGAGGAAAGAGAGCUCGCGCGAGGGAUCAGACGCCUCCGCGACCUCGUGUCUGAUGGGGCGCGCGAGGUGGCGCUUGGUGCUGAGGGCGGUGGUGGCCGGAGGCGCUGGUGGGUGAUGGUGAGAUGGUGAUGCUGGUGGAUGGAUGAGUUGCGAAGGCGCACCACCACGUCGGCCUGGCCGUGGCGGCGGCCUGAGGUGGGAGAAGAAGUGGUCAGGGAGAGAGAUGUGUGCCAGGCCCGAAGGGAUCGAAGGAGAUGGCUAGGGAUUUUACCCCUCUCGAUCAGAUCCGCAUUCUUCUCGUUUAGCCCUCCUUGUUUUCUUCUUUCUUCCCAAGUUGGUCCCCUUCUUCUUCAGCUAGCCCCUGUAGGUUAAUUCUUCUUCACACUCGAGUUCCUCUGCAAAAUGCAGCAGCCGCAACCUCUUAGACACUCCAAUAUACAAGGAUUUGGGCCUUAUCGCCCUUUUCUGCAAAAGAUGGAGUAGUGUUGUAAAUGUGACAUAAUAUGAGUAUUUGAAUAUCUUUCGAGUAAAUAAUGUGAAAAUAUGAUUACAAUUUGAUGCAAAAAGGCUAAAAAUAAUAUAUGAGGAAAUGCUCUAUCAAGUUCCCCCACACUUAAAUCUUUGCUUGUCCUCAAGCAAAGAAAUAUGACAAGAGCAAGAUUGUGAACAGUGAGCUGACUAGAGAAUGCCAAGUGAAGUAGAUCUCCAAACAAAGCAUGCUUUGAACUUUGCUAGUGAAAAUCAAUGGGCAGGAGUGCUUCAAAGCAGUAGGAUACUAGUAGACUUGACCAUUUUAAACUUUUACAAUGAUAAAAAUGGAUCAACAAAUUCAAAUGCUGAUUGUGCCAAAAGGUUCCUAAAGAGAGCAUGAUCCCGAGAACAAAAAAGAACUAGAAUUAAAUCUCUUAUUUGCAGAAAUACAACUUUGUGGUUGAACCACUAAUUGAAUUUGAAGGAAGUAAUGAUAAUAUUAUAUUGAUCUCACCAAAGGAACAUACCACCGAUUCCGAGAACAUGGUAUACACCCGGCUCGACCAAUUAUAUAGUUUUUUUGUUUGUCUCCCCAAAGGAACAUACCACUGAUCCCGAGAACAUGGUAUACACCUGGUUCGACAAUUACAUUAUUAUUAUUAUUAAUUACUGCCCAAGCUAACCCGAUUUCACAUGCCACCGAUCCCGGGAACAUGACAUGCUACUGUAGGUAGUCAGACUAAUUUAUUCAUUAUUACUUAUCUUAAAUGAACAACGCUUAAGCACAAAAAUAGGAAUCAUCACUUCUCCAUGUCUAGUUCACAUGCUACCGAUCCAGGGAACAUAGCAUGCUAAUCCAUAGUGGUUAGGUGAUUGCUCUCAAUGGGAACACACUUAGCACAAAUUCAGCAUCUAAACAUGGUGAUGUAGGUGUAUCAAGGUAAAAGCAGAAAAUGAUCAAGUUUUCUAGUGUACUAGGGAUUUGAGCACUCAAAACUAAUAACUUCCACAAAUUUCAGCAAAGCAUGCAUGGUGUAGAUCACUAGUUUACAAGGCAUUCAGAAAUCAAGUUCACAAAUUCACAUCAAGCACAAUGCCAAAGGUGAAUUUCAGCUUGACAACAAGUAAUAACUAGCUCAAGCAACCCAACUAGCAAUUGAAUUCAGCAUGUAUUUAUGAUAUUCAGAAUGGGUCAUGAAACAGCUCACCAGGCUUAAUGAAGUAGCACUCGCUCAAUCACCUCACCAGUUGCAGCUCUUCUCCUUUCCUUCCUCAUGGAUGCUCCAGCUUCACUCUUCUUCGUGUGUGCCCCAUUGCUUCUCCUCAUCGCCAUGCUUUGGGUCCACCAGGGUCCCAAGGAAUGUCACCUCGAACCUGGUCAGCAUGAAGUGAACGAUGCAGAAGCAGAAACCUGAAAGAACACUCCACAAAAGAGACGAUGCAAGAGGUAGGGAUAAUACCCUCCAAGUCGUCAAUCGAGUAUCCAAUUACAUAAGCAUAGCUAUAAAGCACAUGUUUAGGAUGGUAGAAAUCAGCAAGGUCAACACUAACAUGAGGAUGAUAUUUAUCAUUAAGCUCAAGACUAGUAUGGGAAUGAUAUGUUUCAUAAAGCAUAGGUCUAGCACGAGGAAAGUAAUUGUGAUCAUCACUAAUGUGAGUAAUGCCACUAACAGGGUAUAUAUGAUCAUAUCCAAGCAAAUACUUUUUCAAAUCUACUUUAACAGAUGGCAUCAUGCAAUGCAAGGUAGUAGCAAACAAUUCAUAUGGGGACAUGCCAUUGAGAGGAUUAGAUAAACCUGCAAUGUCACACUCUUGUAUGAUGAUAGACAAUUGAAUUUCUGGUUCUUCAUCUUCAACUACAACAGCUUCUUCUACUUCGUCGGGAGUGGUAGACAUUGAAUCUUCAACUUGUUCAUUUGGGUAUUCGAGCUCUGGAUCAUCUUGUGCCUUGGCUUUGAGAAUUUCUUCUUGGAUCUGAAGUAUCUCUUCCUCUGGACUCUCACUAUCUUGCUCAGCUGAAUGUGAAGGUGUUGGGACCUCACAUGUAUCAAGGGGUAUCCCAGAAAUACUCAACUCAAGGAGGGAAGAGAUAAUACUGCCAGCAUUGAUGUUCUUCUCAAUCUUCCUUACUUCUUCCACUAGCUCCUUUCCACUCUUAAUCUUCUUCAUUUCCUCAAGUAUCACCUUCCUAAUAGGAUCAUCUUUAGCACUCCAAGUGAACUCGAGACUAAGCAAUGUGAGCUUGUCUAUAUCAUCGAAGUCAUCUUGUGUGGGCACUUGUGCAUGAGAUUGCUCAACAGGUGCUGGAGUUGUUGGUUGACCAAGUGGAGGACAAUUUAACUCCAUUGGCAACAUGUCCUGGUGUUGAGGUAUAUGAGUAGGAGCUGAAUAAAUUUGUUGUGGAACAUAGUUGUGGCUCUCCUCUUCAUACCUAAAUCCCUGCAUUGGAUAACUAGAGGCAAACGAUGAGAUCUCAGGGUUGUUGCUCCUAUAUGACAUAUUCUGGUUUUCAGGCCACCCAUGUGUGUAAUUGUUUUGGUAUGAGCUAUGCUCUUGAGCGAAGCUCAUGCCAAAACAAUCUGAAGGGUAAGAGUUACCACGCUGACAUUCAGCGGGCGAAUGGCCCUGAAAUCCACAAAUAUGGCAGGUAGGAGCAACAUAAGGAUGGCCUCUAGAAUAAGGAUCAUAAGAGCUAGGCCUAUCCUCAAAAACUAGUUCUCACUGCCGAGCUAAAUCAUCAAAUCGAUGGGAAAUCUUACUUAUCAGGUCUUGAAUACUUUCCAUGAUGUUUGCACUGUUGCUCGCAUAAGCAUGAUGAUCUGAAUAGUAAGCCAUAUCUGAGAAGAUGCAAUAACCUGCAGAAUGACCAAGUAAAGAAAGAGAAAAUAACUCGAACAAGGGUUAGGGGUUAGAGAUAUAUCACAUAUAUAUAGCACAAAGGGAAAAACAAGAAAAACCUAGUCUAUAGCCUAACAAAAUCGCUCAACGCUAUUCCCCGGCAACGGCGCCAAAAUGAUCUGUUGUAAUAUAGUGGGGUUUUUACGCCCCAAACUACGAGUAUCGUGUUCUCCUUAGGGACUAGGUGACGACAACUAUGCUCAGCUAAAGCUAGGUAACAUGAUAUUGGGUGAUGAAAAUAGAAAAUAAACUAACACUAACAAGAGUAUCAAUAAAGGAAAUGACACAGAAACAAAGGGAGGUUCAGAUUGUACUUUUAGUCUUUUUGGUAUUAUCGUUUUACUUGAGAAAGGAGACACUGACACAAGAAUACAAAUAUGACCAAAGGGAAACAACAAUACUAGAACACAUAUAUUUAUCUAACUAAUGUGUGACAGAGAGAAGAAACAAGAUAAAGGACAUGGAUGAUAAUGCUUCAUGUCACAACAAAUAUUACAGGUACAGAGCUAAUACAGAGACUGAAAAUUAAAUGAUCACACAACUGACUACCACAAAGAGUAAUUUCAAUACAAAAUAGAAUCACAAGUAGUAAUCUGAAUUUAUACAAACCACUAACUGAAAUACAUGCCCCAUAUAUAUAAUUGUUUCACAUCACACACAUAUGCAUUUGUAUCACACGAACAAUAAACUGGACACCAAUCAUCGGCAAGUACAGAAUAUGUGUGACAUAUAUAGCUAGUUCUUACACGUCAACAAAAGUGACACUAAAUUAUUCUACUUGUUGCAGAUUAAUAGAGAACAAUCAAACAAGCACAAGUCUGAAUAACACAAGGUCUAACACGUCUCUGAUACAUAGAAAUUACAGAGAGAGAGAGAGAGAGAGAGAGCAGGAUUGGGAAAGAAGGAGGAGCAGCAAGGUUUUUGGAAGAUGAGGAGCAUCAAGGGCAUUUGAGAGAAGGUGCAGGAAGAGAGAGGAGCAGCGGCAGUUCAGCAGAGAGGCUAAGAGGAGAAACAGUAGUUGUAGUUCAGAGCAGCAGCGGCGUGGAGGGUUGAGAGAGCAGAAGGAGCACACUGAGAAGAGAUAAGAAGAGCAAGAGCGGGGCAGUAGGGAGAUCAAGAGAAAGAGCAGCAAGAGAUUGAGAAAGAAGCAGCAGUAAGGGCAUGGAGAGAAAGCAGAAGCAGGGGCGUGGAGAAGAGGUGCUGGUCGCGCGGCGGAUCAGACAGGCCAUCUGGUGGCUUGCGCGAUCUGGUGCUGGUGAUGGUGGAUGGAUGGCGUAGUGAAGAUGUAGGCGCUGUAGUGUUCGGUGGUGAGGUGGCGGAGUUGGUGGCGCUGCUGGAUGGAUGGGUCGCGGAGGCGCACCACCACACCGGCCUGGCCGUGGCGGCGGCCGGAGGUGGAGAAGAAAGGGAUCGGGGGAGAGAGAUGAGAUGCCAGGCCUGAUGGGGAAUGGAGGCGUGCUAGGGAUUUUGAUGCCCCAUGAUCUGAUCUAUCUUUUUUUUACUUUGGCCCUCCUCCUUUCUUCUUUCUUCCCAAGUAGAUCCUCUCUUCUAUAGUUGGCCCCCUGGCUACUUCGUUUCUUCUCGCACAAGUCCAUUCUUCCUCCUCUUCUUCGUUCUCUUAGCCACUUAGUCCGGAUCUUGAAGAUUUAUAGUGCCUUUGCGCACAUUUCUGCAAAAUAGACCAAAGACUACUAAAUGAUACUUUAUAUGAUUUUCAUGCAAAUAUUCAAUAUUUCACAGCAAGAAUUGAUGGUCAUAUCUCAAUAAAUAAUAUAUUUCUAUGCCAAAAUUGUAUAUAUGAAAUGUGCUUAUCA
RNAcentral lists this long non-coding RNA (7980 nucleotides) under Triticum aestivum (bread wheat). RNAcentral's name for it is "long non-coding RNA (TAES_LNC016630)". The record is from RNAcentral. Lineage: Eukaryota; Viridiplantae; Streptophyta; Magnoliopsida; Poales; Poaceae.